RNAcentral lists this long non-coding RNA (3344 nucleotides) under Gallus gallus (chicken). RNAcentral's name for it is "lncRNA (ENSGALG00010006008.1)". Lineage: Eukaryota; Metazoa; Chordata; Aves; Galliformes; Phasianidae. The record is from RNAcentral.
GUGGUUUUUGUUUUUUUUUAGUAACUUUCAACACAAAUUGUGCUUUCUCCCACAGAUAUUUGACAUUUAACAAGCAAGAAUUGUUAUUUAUUUUAAUUAGUUUUUACUACGUGUGCCUGCUUCCCCCAGGAAUAAAACUAACUGAAGUCAGUACCCCCCCCCCCCCCCAUGUUUAUUUAAAUGGAGCAUUACGAUGAGCCUCCAGUCAGCUCUGUCGUGUUCAAACAAAUGUUCUGAAUUACUGUUUUUCACCUGAUUUCACAAUCAGCUCUUUGCAACCCACUACACUGUCACUAGCAAUCUGACUGAAGGCAAAAAAUUUCUUUAAUGUCUAAAUCGGUUUAUUCUGGAUAAUCUCAACACCUUUCAGCAGCAGUAGUAUUUAAAUACAGCUGAAGAAGAACAAAAUAGCGUGUCUGAAUUUUACAAAAGCUUUGUGUAUCUGUUAUUUUCUUUCUUCCUGGAAUCUUAUAAGUACUAUGUGUGGCAUUUGCACUUUUUUUUUGCCAUGUCUUGCUUAAAAUUUUGCCUUCUCGAGUGUAAAGGUUAGCAUACUUUAAGACUGAUAGUCUUUGACAUAGGAAAGUGAUGGUGUUUAAAAAGUUACAAAACUAUACAUAAACACUGAGUUUAAAAUCUUGGGUCAAGGAAGCUUAGUAAUGUAUCUAUCAAGUACACCUCUAUUGUCCUGAUGCUGUUGAUAGAGAGUAUAAAUCCAUGUCUUUUGGAAUAUAAUAGGAAUGAAAUGACCAUGGAAAGCAUCCUUACUUGCAGCUUGAAGUUCAUUUCCAGCCACCACUUCAUAUAUACUCUUUCUUUCCUUUUCUAUGAUCCCCUCCUUCUUCCCAGUUUUCAAAGAAAGGAAUAUCACAGGUUGUGGAUGAAUUGCCUGGAGGCAUUCAAGGCCAGGCUGGAUGUGGCUCUGGGCAGCCUGGUCUGGUGUUUGGUGACCCUGCCCAUGGCAGAGGGGUUGAAACUAGAUGAUCAUUGUGGUCCUUUUCAACCCAGGCCAUUCUAUGAUCAGGGAGAUGGGAUUAGGGAAGACAAGUUGCCUAUGUCCAUUCUUCAUCCAAUUAUUUUCAAUUAUUUUUUUAAUCCUUUUUUCUACAAAAGUGGAAACCUUUACCAGAGCACUAUCUAGGCAAAAUCUUCCCAUGUGUAUAUAUGUUGGGAUAAAAUGCAGUGUUUCAACUGUGUUUUUUUCUACGAGCACGCUAAAUAAAGAUGAAUAAAGAUUCAUAGCAUCUCUGUUUAAGUAUUAGUGCUUUGAAUACCUGGUAGAUUUAAAGCUGAAUAAAUAAAAAAUUAAGAAGUCCUUAUAUUUUCCAGCUGUUAGUUAUGUCUUGUGAUCCGGCUUGGUAUGCGAGCUGUUCACCAGCAGAGGGCAUUGUGCACCUCGGGGAAACGCAGAUUGCAAAAGCAGUCGCAAGAGAAGGGAAAAAUUCUGACCUUCUGAAGGCAUUGCAAAUUUUAGGAAGUUAAGCAGAAGCUUAAUACAAACUGAAAUUUCCAAUCACAGGAUCUGACGUAUUUCCCAAUGUCAUCUCUCAUCUCUGUAGCUCCUGCACUAGGAAAAACAGAGUGCUCCAAACAUGACUGCUUCAGAGGACCUGAGAAUACUGACACCAGCCUAGCAGAGGACUCCAUGAAAAGUGAAAAAAACAUCCUGCAGUCUCUCAUCCAGAUGUAUCAUUUUGGCACGUCGAAGAUGAAGAGACACUAUAGCUUGCAAAAUUAGAUCUCACCAGUCUUACAGGUUGAUGCUGUUUAUGCAGGUGAACGGGCUCAACGUGGCUUUGGCACUUCAUGAGAGCUUCCUGGGAACUGGAGCACUACUUACUAUAUAUCACUGGAAACAGCAUGGUAGCUGUUGGGAUAUAUACAAGAGCAACAAAAGGGACGUUGCAAUAUCUAGGAGAAAAGAAUUAACACCUGAUACAUUUUAAAAGUACAGUGAGCAGGCCAAACAUUUAAGGUAAAAUAACCGUUUUCCAGAAGUGAUUUCAUUACUUUUCCUUCUGUGUUAUUUGUAAUUUUCUCAACAGUGCAGUAUUUUUAACUUUGAGACAAUAUAUUAAUGUGGGGAUAUUGUCAGUGUAGCUAAUCUUUUCUUUUAGGAACAUCUUAAAAAUUAGCAUAUCUAUCUAAACUGCUAAAAGAGAGAUUACCCCAUCGUUAACUACACACACAUGUUAACGAGAGAGGUGGGAUCGAGACCUCAUGACAACUGCAGACCUCUCUCUACGCACUUAGGCAUAGUGUACCCAUAGCGUAUAAGGGAUGUACCUUUGUUCUGUUGGGGUGCACAUUAAAAAGGAAAUAUCCCCUGGGCAUCCGGGGCCGUAUUAGAGAAUGCCUGCUUCUUAAUACCCACAUUUGUCUUAAGGAGUUUUAUUUGGGUCGAGGUUUGUCUGGCAACAGGUAGACCAAAUGUUUGAGACAGGAGAAAGAUACUGCAGUUCGUCUGCAUUUCAGAGCACUCUUCCUGAGACAGGCUAUGCCGGUGACAACACAUGAUACUGUCUGAGGUAUGUGCUCACUGUAUCUUCUUCCCAGAAAUAAUACAUACUUUAGAGAACAGAGGACAAUAUCUGAGAAGUGUAACUGCUACUUAUACAGCAAAUGCUCUGUAUGCUACACAACUGUAAAAUGAUCAAUCAAGGCUUGUCAAAAAUGAAAAUCCACAAAAAUAAUAAAAAAAAGGCCAUGAAAUGAAAUAAAAGGGGAAAAAAUAAGAGCUGAAUGCACAUACUCUAUUAAAGCAUGAAUAUCAGGAUAAGGCAUAUGAAAAGAGACGUAGGAGAGCAACUGUAGUUUUAAAACACUUGAUAAUUAAAGAUGAAACAAAAAGUAGAAUAAGAUUAGAUUGAAGGAAGGAAGUCUAGCAAGGUUGUGGAAACUUGAGAAAAAAUAGUUACAUGUAGAACAAAUAAGAAACAGGAUGUUGUACUUCAUAAAGUUACACAAAGUUAAAAGAUUUAAACAUAAAAAAUAUAACAGCUUUCAGUGUAAUUUAUGGUAUAAAGACACUUCUUAUUUUGUGGAGUAAAAGCAAGCAACUUCUGAUCUUCAGAUCAAUCUAAAUAGAUAUUUAAUUGUUUAGAUUUCAAGGUCUCAAUCAAUUACUUCUUCCAACAGUAAAUAUCCAUAGUUAAAAUGCUUUGGGAUGUUUCUAUCUUUGUACUCUGUCUUUUUCUCUCAUCUCGAAGAAAAGCUCAAAGAAUAUAAAUAUAAGGAAUAAUUUUUUUACAGUGAGGGUGGUGAGGUAUUGAAAUACGUUGCCCAGUGUUGUGGUUCAUGUCCUGAUCCUGGAGACUUUCAAGGCAAGGCUGGACUGGGCCCCA